This is a non-coding RNA of Pneumocystis murina, 74 nucleotides long. Lineage: Eukaryota; Fungi; Ascomycota; Pneumocystomycetes; Pneumocystales; Pneumocystaceae. The record is from Rfam.
GGCCUCAUCGUCUAAGAAGGUUAGGACAUAACAACUUCACUGUUAAAAUGUUGGUUCAAUUCCAACUUGGGCUA